This 455-nucleotide ribosomal RNA is filed under the name Neisseria bacilliformis. Its description in RNAcentral is "bacterial SSU rRNA". It matches the Rfam family "Bacterial small subunit ribosomal RNA", at positions 30 to 485 of the family's 1533-position model. Lineage: Bacteria; Pseudomonadati; Pseudomonadota; Betaproteobacteria; Neisseriales; Neisseriaceae. The record is from RNAcentral.
AUUGAACGCUGGCGGCAUGCUUUACACAUGCAAGUCGGACGGCAGCACAGAGGAGCUUGCUUCUUGGGUGGCGAGUGGCGAACGGGUGAGUAACGCAUCGGAACGUACCGAGUAAUGGGGGAUAACUGUCCGAAAGGACAGCUAAUACCGCAUACGCCCUGAGGGGGAAAGCGGGGGAUCUUAGGACCUCGCGCUAUUCGAGCGGCCGAUGUCUGAUUAGCUGGUUGGCGGGGUAAAGGCCUACCAAGGCGACGAUCAGUAGCGGGUCUGAGAGGAUGAUCCGCCACACUGGGACUGAGACACGGCCCAGACUCCUACGGGAGGCAGCAGUGGGGAAUUUUGGACAAUGGGCGCAAGCCUGAUCCAGCCAUGCCGCGUGUCUGAAGAAGGCCUUCGGGUUGUAAAGGACUUUUGUCAGGGAAGAAAAGGCUGUUGCUAAUACCGACAGCUGACGA